AGUGAACGCUGGCGGUAGGCCUAACACAUGCAAGUCGAACGGCAGCACAGAGGAGCUUGCUCCUUGGGUGGCGAGUGGCGGACGGGUGAGGAAUACAUCGGAAUCUACUCUGUCGUGGGGGAUAACGUAGGGAAACUUACGCUAAUACCGCAUACGACCUACGGGUGAAAGCAGGGGACCUUCGGUCCUUGCGCGAUUGAAUGAGCCGAUGUCGGAUUAACUAGUUGGCGGGGUAAAGGCCCACCAAGGCGACGAUCCGUAGCUGGUCUGAGAGGAUGAUCAGCCACACUGGAACUGAGACACGGUCCAGACUCCUACGGGAGGCAGCAGUGGGGAAUAUUGGACAAUGGGCGCAAGCCUGAUCCAGCCAUACCGCGUGGGUGAAGAAGGCCUUCGGGUUGUAAAGCCCUUUUGUUGGGAAAGAAAUCCAGCUGGCUAAUACCCGGUUGGGAUGACGGUACCCAAAGAAUAAGCACCGGCUAACUUCGUGCCAGCCGCCGCCGUAA
RNAcentral lists this ribosomal RNA (506 nucleotides) under uncultured bacterium. Its description in RNAcentral is "partial 16S ribosomal RNA". It matches the Rfam family "Bacterial small subunit ribosomal RNA", at positions 29 to 523 of the family's 1533-position model. The record is from RNAcentral.